This 199-nucleotide ribosomal RNA is filed under the name uncultured bacterium. RNAcentral describes it as "partial 16S ribosomal RNA". It matches the Rfam family "Bacterial small subunit ribosomal RNA", at positions 328 to 539 of the family's 1533-position model. The record is from RNAcentral.
ACGCUCGACACCUACGGGAGGCAGCAGUGGGGAAUAUUGCACAAUGGGGGAAACCCUGAUGCAGCGACGCCGCGUGAGCGAAGAAGUAUUUCGGUAUGUAAAGCUCUAUCAGCAGGGAAGAAACUGACGGUACCUGACUAAGAAGCACCGGCUAAAUACGUGCCAGCAGCAGCGGUAAUCUGAGGCGGGCUGGCAAGGC